Streptomyces sp. 769 is the source of this 81-nucleotide non-coding RNA. The record is from Rfam. Lineage: Bacteria; Bacillati; Actinomycetota; Actinomycetes; Kitasatosporales; Streptomycetaceae.
GCCGGUCCUCGGUAGUGGCCCCCGGACGGCGCAUGGUCACUCCAUGCGGCACCACUCCGGGUGCUUCGAUCGAAGACCGGC